UACGUAGGGGGCUAGCGUUGUCCGGAUUUAUUGGGCGUAAAGAGCGUGUAGGCGGCCAGGUAGGUCUGCUGUGAAAACUCGAGGCUCAACCUCGAGACGUCGGCGGAAACCAUCUGGCUAGAGUCCGGAAGAGGAGAGUGGAAUUCCUAGUGUAGCGGUGAAAUGCGUAGAGAUUAGGAAGAACACCAGUGGCGAAGGCGACUUACUGGACUGUAACUGACGCUGAGGCAUGAAAGCGUGGGGAGCAAACAGG
This 253-nucleotide ribosomal RNA is filed under the name uncultured bacterium. Its description in RNAcentral is "partial 16S ribosomal RNA". It matches the Rfam family "Bacterial small subunit ribosomal RNA", at positions 524 to 776 of the family's 1533-position model. The record is from RNAcentral.